GCGGAUGUAGCUCAAUGGUAGAGCAGCUGCCUUCCAAGCAGCAGGCUGCGGGUUCGAGUCCCGUCGUCCGCU
Molecule: non-coding RNA, 72 nt
Organism: Hydrogenobaculum sp. Y04AAS1
Lineage: Bacteria; Pseudomonadati; Aquificota; Aquificia; Aquificales; Aquificaceae
Source: Rfam